This 454-nucleotide ribosomal RNA is filed under the name uncultured bacterium. RNAcentral's name for it is "partial 16S ribosomal RNA". It matches the Rfam family "Bacterial small subunit ribosomal RNA", at positions 28 to 507 of the family's 1533-position model. The record is from RNAcentral.
GACGAACGCUGGCGGCGUGCUUAACACAUGCAAGUCGAACGGAAAGGCCCGGCUUUUGUGGGGUGCUCGAGUGGCAAACGGGAGAGUAACACGUGAGUAGCCUGCCCUAGACCUUGGGAUAACUUCAGGAAACGGGGGCUAAUACCGGAUAGGAGCUCCUGCUGCAUGGUUUGGGUGGUAGGGGUUGGGGGCGCGGCUUAGCAGCUAGAUGGUGGGGUAAUGGCUUACGCAGGCUGUGACGGGAAGCCGGCCUGGGCGGGUGACCGGCGACAUUGGGACUGAGAUACGGCCCAGACUCCUGCGGGAGGCAGCAGUGGGGAAUAUUGCACAAUGGGCUGAAGCCUGAUGCAGCCGCGCCGCGUGCGGGAUGUCGGCCUUCGGGUUGUAAACCGCUUUCGCCUGUGACGAAGCGUGAGUGACGGUAAUGGGUAUAGAAGCACCGGCUAACUACGUG